GGAGAAAAUAAUUUUCGCUUACAAUGAAGAGUACCUUAGGGCUCCUUUAUAAUGUAAAUUUAAGAAAGUA
Molecule: transfer RNA, 70 nt
Filed under: Gammarus monticellus
Lineage: Eukaryota; Metazoa; Arthropoda; Malacostraca; Amphipoda; Gammaridae
Description: tRNA-Val
Source: RNAcentral